This 409-nucleotide ribosomal RNA is filed under the name bacterium. RNAcentral's name for it is "partial 16S ribosomal RNA". It matches the Rfam family "Bacterial small subunit ribosomal RNA", at positions 355 to 776 of the family's 1533-position model. The record is from RNAcentral.
UGGGGAAUAUUGCACAAUGGGCGAAAGCCUGAUGCAGCGACGCCGCGUGAGGGAUGACGGCCUUCGGGUUGUAAACCUCUUUCAGUAGGGACGAAGCGCAAGUGACGGCACCUGCAGAAGAAGCACCGGCUAACUACGUGCCAGCAGCCGCGGUAAUACGUAGGGUGCGAGCGUUGUCCGGAAUUACUGGGCGUAAAGAGCUCGUAGGCGGUUUGUCACGUCGUCUGUGAAAUCCUAGGGCUUAACCCUGGACGUGCAGGCGCUACGGGCUGACUUGAGUACGACAGGGGAGACUGGAAUUUCUGGUGUAGCGGUGGAAUGCACAGAUAUCAGGAAGAACACCGAUGGCGAAGGCAGGUCUCUGGGUAGUAACUGACGCUGAGGAGCGAAAGCAUGGGUAGCGAACAGG